ACACUACUGAGGAGUCCCACAACAGGACGAAACGGCCGUGCAGUGC
This 46-nucleotide non-coding RNA is filed under the name Schistosoma curassoni. Lineage: Eukaryota; Metazoa; Platyhelminthes; Trematoda; Strigeidida; Schistosomatidae. The record is from RNAcentral.